Molecule: long non-coding RNA, 913 nt
Organism: Macaca mulatta (Rhesus monkey)
Lineage: Eukaryota; Metazoa; Chordata; Mammalia; Primates; Cercopithecidae
Source: RefSeq, a predicted model, not a curated record
GAAGUCAUCUCCAGAGAUAAAGAGAGUGAGCCCAAGCCACAGAAAGAAAAGGAGAAUGAAGACCGGGCACUGUGGCUCACGCCUGUAAUCCCAGCACUUUGGGAGGCUGAGGCAGGCAGAUCAUAAGUGAUUUUCCCUACUGGGCAGCAGAUGAUUUCUUCAAAGGUUGCCUGGAUCAGAGUCCUUAAGGGAAUUAAGAAGUUGGGGAGUAAUGACCACAUCAAGUGUCGGUGAGGAUGUGGAGGAACUGGAACUCUUACACACAGCUGGUGGGGAUGUACAAUGAAACGACCACCUUGGAAAACAGUCUGACAGUUAAAAAAAAAAUUUAACAUAACAUCUAUCAUAUGAGCCAGCCAAUCUACUUGUAGGUAUUUACUCAAGAAGAAAGGAACACGGCUAUACAAAGACUUGUACAUAAUGUUCAUAGCAGCUUUAUUUGUAAUAGCCAAAGAGUGCAAAUGUCCAUUAGUAGGGAAAUGGAUAAACAAGUCAUGGUAUAUCCAUACCAUAAAAUACAACUUAGCAAUAAAAAGAAAUGAAUGAUUGACAUACACAAAGACAUGGGCAAAUCUCCAAAAAUUAUGCUAAGCAAAAGAAAGCACACAAAAAAGCACAUGCUGUGUGAUUCUAUUGAUAUGAAAAUGUAUAAAAUGUGAACUGAUCUACAGUGAUAUAAAGUACAUCAUUGGUUUCCUGGGGACAGGGUUAAGGUGCAGCAAGAGGGAGGAAUGAAAACAGGGAAUGAAGAACCUUUGGGGCGAUGAAUGUAUUUGUUAUCUUGAUGGCAGUGAUUAUUUCAUGGCUUAAACUUACAUCAAAGUUUAUCAAAUUGUACAUUUAAAAUAUGACAUACAGUUUAUUGGAGCCAAUUAAACCUCAAUAAAGUAGUUAAAGAAGAGUUCAUGGAUAA